RNAcentral lists this ribosomal RNA (363 nucleotides) under Triticum aestivum (bread wheat). RNAcentral's name for it is "partial small subunit ribosomal RNA". The record is from RNAcentral. Lineage: Eukaryota; Viridiplantae; Streptophyta; Magnoliopsida; Poales; Poaceae.
AUGGCAGGGGAAUCCAGCGGAAAAAGGGAAGAUUCGUGUGAUUUGUAUUUCUGGGAAGUUGCUGAUGUGGGGGAGUGCAACUAUGCUGAUUAUUUGGUUAGCCGAGGAAUCCCAAUACCAGCAGGUUGGGGUGUUGGACAAGUAACUGAAGGAACGACAGAAGAGGAAGAUGCAGAGCAGAAGGUUAAAGAUGCAGUUCCUCUGAUCAUGGCCAAGCAACAGCUGUUGAACGUCCUUGACAGCAAUGAGGUGAUGAAAGAGCUUGUGAAGAUAAUGGGAAAAAUCGAUGUGCUCUAUAGGAUGAUUGUCACUUUAUUUGCAGUGUAUGUAGCACUCGUGAUGUAUUCAGUGGCUAUGACAUGA